This is a long non-coding RNA of Canis lupus familiaris (dog), 1552 nucleotides long. RefSeq lists it as uncharacterized. The transcript is spliced from 2 exons. The record is from RefSeq and is a predicted model, not a curated record. NCBI's taxonomy places the organism in Eukaryota, Metazoa, Chordata, Mammalia, Carnivora, Canidae.
UAUAAUCAGUGAUUUUCUAGAAAGGCAGGAGAAAUGCAACCUCCUGGCUACAAAGGGUGAGAAACAAUAUGCCCUGGGAGGGGGCAGGGGAAGAGAAUGGUUGCAUGCAGCUCUUCAGCCCAAUUGACAGGGAACUGAAAUGUUGCCUCUUGGCUUGGGGUUCUGUAUUUGCAUAAGCAGCCUGAGCAAGAAGGGGUGUGGAAAGCCUGAAUUAGGCAUGAUGAAGAAAAAGCCCCAAAUUCGAAUUCAUAAGUACAGUGUACUCCCUUUCAAAUGAGAACGCGCCCUGAUUGAAAAAUGACAGCAAGACUCAUCCUGUAUUUUGUUCUGUCUUGAAAUCGAUGAAUCCCAAAAAACAAUGGUUAUAGAAAUCUUGGUGACUCUUUCUUGUACAUUUAUUCUACUCACUGCAAGUCAGUAAUAAUAGUGAUAAUUCAAAGUACACCUGCAUUUCACAUGCAGUAAUUCAGCUCACCUUCACAAUCAUGCUCUGAGAUAGGAUCGGUAUUAUACUCAUUGUACAGGUAAAGAAAGCAAGGCUCAGAUGUUCAGAGAUUUUCAUCACUAAUAAAUGACCGGACUGGAACUCAUAUUCUCAUGAUAUACUGAGCCCAGGUGCUACCACAUUCUGCUGCUGAACAACAUUACCAAAGAAAAUUUAUCCCAAAUAUAAUGGAAGCGGAUUUUUUUUUUUUUUUUUUACCUCUCAGCAACAUUGGGCCCUGCUGCCAGCCCAUUCCUGCCUUCUUGAAACCCUCUGCUUUCUUUAUUCUUGGAAAUUGCUCUUUAUUGAUUUGCGUAUUGCCUCAUAGACUUUCUCAGUCUUUUCCCAGAUUUCCUCUUCUUGGCCUUCUGUCCCUUUCCCUCAAGGUCUGCCAUCAGUGAGCAACCUCAUCCACUCCUCUUUUUUCAUUUAUUCAUUUAACAAGUAUCUUUUUUAGGCACCUCCUAUGUGCAACGCACUCGUCUGGCCACAUGGGAUAAGACAGGGAAUAACAGUCAUCUCUCUGCACAAGAAAAAGUUUAUAUUGUUGGGUGGGUGCAGAGGAGACAGAGAAAAACGAAUUGGCAGGCUCCCUUUACAGUGGCAAGAUGGUGUCCCAGGGUUCCAGGCUUGCACCCUCAUCCACCCUCCAGAAGAUAAAAGAGAACUUCUUUUCUCUAUAACUGCACAGAAACCAUUGGAGUCUUGUACCCUCUCCUGAACCAAUGACCUGGGCCAGGGAAAUAGCAUUGUUCUGAUUGGCCAAGCAUGGAGGUUGAAUCAGCUCCACUAUGAACUGAGAGCAAAGAACUGUUGCCCCUGAGGAAAAAUCAAGACUCUUGCAGGAAAAGAAUGGACAGUAGGCAGGUAGAGCGAUGCGUGCCCACUACUCUCAGCUGUGGCACCCAAUUCACUCUGUCUCGUACUAUGGUCAUGCUUCCAUGUGUAUCUGCCCUCAGAUUGAGAGCCCCCGAGAACAAGGACUAUCCAUUUGUUAUCCUUGUAUCCCUGAGGCCCAGGACAAUCCUUGGAUAUAGCACAAGCUCAAUAAAUAUUUCUUGGCAUGAA